Molecule: ribosomal RNA, 585 nt
Filed under: uncultured bacterium
Lineage: Bacteria
Description: bacterial SSU rRNA
Rfam family: Bacterial small subunit ribosomal RNA
Source: RNAcentral
CCUACGGGAGGCAGCAGUGGGGAAUAUUGGACAAUGGGGGCAACCCUGAUCCAGCAAUACCGCGUGUGUGAAGAAGGCCUUCGGGUUGUAAAGCACUUUAGGUUGGGAAGAAGGUGUAUUGUUUAAGAGAUGAUACAUUUGACUGUACCAACAGAAUAAGCACCGGCUAACUCUGUGCCAGCAGCCGCGGUAAUACAGAGGGUGCAAGCGUUAAUCGGAGUUACUGGGCGUAAAGGGCGCGUAGGCGGUUAUGUAAGUGAGAUGUGAAAGCCCUGGGCUUAACCUAGGAACUGCAUCUUAUACUGCAUAACUGGAGUACUGUAGAGGGUAGUGGAAUUUCCGGUGUAGCGGUGAAAUGCGUAGAGAUCGGAAGGAACACCAGUGGCGAAGGCGGCUACCUGGACAGAUACUGACGCUGAGGCGCGAGAGCGUGGGGAGCAAACAGGAUUAGAUACCCUGGUAGUCCACGCUGUAAACGAUGAGAACUAGAUGUUGGCCAGCUUGACUGGUUAGUAUCGAAGCUAACGCGANAAGUUCUCCGCCUGGGGAGUACGGCCGCAGGUUAAACGUCAAAGGAAUUGACGG